GCUCCGUAGGUGAACCUGCGGAGGGAUCAUUACAGAGUUCAUGCCCUACCGGGUAGAUCUCCCACCCUAUGUUAUUAUUACUUUGUUGCUUUGGCGGGCCGUUAGGCUCCGGCCCGACUACCGGCCCCGGCUGGUAAGCGCCCGCCAGAGGACCCAAAACCCUGAAUAUUAGUGUCGUCUGAGAACUAUAUAAUAGUUAAAACUUUCAACAACGGAUCUCUUGGUUCUG
RNAcentral lists this unclassified non-coding RNA (229 nucleotides) under plant metagenome. RNAcentral's name for it is "partial contains small subunit ribosomal RNA, internal transcribed spacer 1, and 5.8S ribosomal RNA". The record is from RNAcentral.